CAUGCAGUCGAACGAUGAUGCCCAGCUUGCUGGGUGGAUUAGUGGCGAACGGGUGAGUAACACGUGAGUAACCUGCCCUUGACUUCGGGAUAACUCCGGGAAACCGGGGCUAAUACCGGAUAUGAGCCGUCCUCGCAUGGGGGUGGUUGGAAAGUUUUUCGGUCAGGGAUGGGCUCGCGGCCUAUCAGCUUGUUGGUGGGGUGAUGGCCUACCAAGGCGACGACGGGUAGCCGGCCUGAGAGGGCGACCGGCCACACUGGGACUGAGACACGGCCCAGACUCCUACGGGAGGCAGCAGUGGGGAAUAUUGCACAAUGGGCGAAAGCCUGAUGCAGCGACGCCGCGUGAGGGAUGAAGGCCUUCGGGUUGUAAACCUCUUUCAGCAGGGAAGAAGCGCAAGUGACGGUACCUGCAGAAGAAGCGCCGGCUAACUACGUGCCAGCAGCCGCGGUAAUACGUAGGGCGCAAGCGUUGUCCGGAAUUAUUGGGCGUAAAGAGCUCGUAGGCGGUUUGUCGCGUCUGGUGUGAAAACUCGAGGCUCAACCUCGAGCUUGCAUCGGGUACGGGCAGACUAGAGUGCGGUAGGGGAGACUGGAAUUCCUGGUGUAGCGGUGGAAUGCGCAGAUAUCAGGAGGAACACCGAUGGCGAAGGCAGGUCUCUGGGCCGCAACUGACGCUGAGGAGCGAAAGCAUGGGGAGCGAACAGGAUUAGAUACCCUGGUAGUCCAUGCCGUAAACGUUGGGCACUAGGUGUGGGGCUCAUUCCACGAGUUCCG
This 776-nucleotide ribosomal RNA is filed under the name Cellulosimicrobium sp. RNAcentral's name for it is "bacterial SSU rRNA". It matches the Rfam family "Bacterial small subunit ribosomal RNA", at positions 54 to 843 of the family's 1533-position model. The record is from RNAcentral. Lineage: Bacteria; Bacillati; Actinomycetota; Actinomycetes; Micrococcales; Promicromonosporaceae.